This 233-nucleotide ribosomal RNA is filed under the name uncultured Glomeraceae. Its description in RNAcentral is "partial 18S ribosomal RNA". It matches the Rfam family "Eukaryotic small subunit ribosomal RNA", at positions 548 to 784 of the family's 1831-position model. The record is from RNAcentral. Lineage: Eukaryota; Fungi; Glomeromycota; Glomeromycetes; Glomerales; Glomeraceae.
UUGGAGGGCAAGUCUGGUGCCAGCAGCCGCGGUAAUUCCAGCUCCAAUAGCGUAUAUUAAAGUUGUUGCAGUUAAAAAGCUCGUAGUUGAAUUUCGGGAUUAAUUUAUCGGUCGUGCUUUUGUACGUACUGGUAUUAUUGAUUCCUACCUUCUGACGAACCAUGAUGUCAUUAAUUUGGUGUCUUGGGGAAUCAGGACUGUUACUUUGAAAAAAUUAGAGUGUUUAAAGCAGG